GAUGAAGAACGCAGCGAAAUGCGAUAAGUAAUGCGAAUUGCAGAAUUCAGUGAGUCAUCGAAUCUUUGAACGCACAUUGCGCCCUGUGGUAGUCCGCAGGGCAUGCCUGUUCGAGCGUCAUUUCAACCCUCAAGCUCUGCUUGGUGUUGGGCCCUGCCCGCUGCGGCCGGCCCUAAAGACAGUGGCGGUGCCGCCUGGCCCUGAGCGUAGUACAUCUCUCGCUCCAGUGCCCGGUGGUAGCCUGCCAGAACCCCAACUCUCGUGGUUGACCUCGGAUCAGGUAGGGAUACCCGCUGAACUUAAGCAUAUCAAUAAGCGGAGGA
This 323-nucleotide unclassified non-coding RNA is filed under the name soil metagenome. RNAcentral describes it as "partial contains 5.8S ribosomal RNA, internal transcribed spacer 2, and large subunit ribosomal RNA". The stretch from base 1 to 120 matches the Rfam family "5.8S ribosomal RNA", at positions 35 to 154 of the family's 154-position model. The record is from RNAcentral.